UACGUAGGGUGCAAGCGUUGUCCGGAAUUAUUGGGCGUAAAGAGCUCGUAGGCGGUCUGUCGCGUCUGCUGUGAAAACGCGGGGCUUAACCCCGCGCCUGCAGUGGGUACGGGCAGACUAGAGUGCGGUAGGGGAGACUGGAAUUCCUGGUGUAGCGGUGGAAUGCGCAGAUAUCAGGAGGAACACCGGUGGCGAAGGCGGGAUCCUGGGCCAGUACUGACGCUGAGGAGCGAAAGCGUGGGGAGCAAACGGG
RNAcentral lists this ribosomal RNA (253 nucleotides) under uncultured bacterium. RNAcentral's name for it is "partial 16S ribosomal RNA". It matches the Rfam family "Bacterial small subunit ribosomal RNA", at positions 524 to 776 of the family's 1533-position model. The record is from RNAcentral.